UGACGGUGUGCCCGUCUUCCGGGCAGGUCA
This 30-nucleotide small RNA is filed under the name Bombyx mori (domestic silkworm). RNAcentral describes it as "ovarian small RNA-31797". The record is from RNAcentral. Lineage: Eukaryota; Metazoa; Arthropoda; Insecta; Lepidoptera; Bombycidae.